This 219-nucleotide non-coding RNA is filed under the name Chloroflexota bacterium. Its description in RNAcentral is "Chloroflexi bacterium T-box sequence". It matches the Rfam family "T-box leader". From Rfam's summary of the family: Uncharged tRNA acts as the effector for transcription antitermination of genes in the T-box leader family. T-boxes are found upstream of many aminoacyl-tRNA synthetase genes and some amino acid biosynthetic genes usually in Gram-positive bacteria. The anticodon of a specific tRNA base pairs to a specifier sequence within the T-box motif, and the NCCA acceptor tail of the tRNA base pairs to a conserved bulge in the T-box antiterminator hairpin. The record is from RNAcentral. Lineage: Bacteria; Bacillati; Chloroflexota.
AUAGCGGCGCCGAAGGAGAGCAGUACCGCGACACGCGGCGUAAAAGAGAGACCGGUAUAGGUGAGAGCCGGUCGCGCUGACGACGCGAGAAUUCGCUCCGGAGCUGACCGGCAGAAAAGCCGGUCCGGGUGAAGCCCGAUAGCGCUUCGACCGAGCGUCCUUCUCGUUAAUGAGAAGGGAACACGGGUGGUACCGCGGAGGCCCGCCUUCGUCCCGAAC